This 301-nucleotide ribosomal RNA is filed under the name uncultured bacterium. RNAcentral describes it as "partial 16S ribosomal RNA". It matches the Rfam family "Bacterial small subunit ribosomal RNA", at positions 509 to 807 of the family's 1533-position model. The record is from RNAcentral.
CAGCCGCCGCGGUAACACGUAGGGGGCGAGCGUCGUCCGAAGUUACUGGGCGUAAAGAGCGCGUAGGCUGGUCUUUAAGUGAGUGGUGAAAGGUUCGGGCUCAACCCGGACACUGCCUUUCAUACUGGGGACCUUGAGUGUGGGAGAGGCGAGUGGAAUGGUCGGUGUAGCGGUGAAAUGCGUAGAUAUCGAUCGGAACACCCAUGGCGAAGGCAGCUCGCUGGCCUAACACUGACGCUGAGGCGCGAAAGCGUGGGGAGCAAACAGGAUUAGAUACCCCAGUAGUCCCUGUCUCUUAUAC